CCAAUCGAACUCGGAGAUAGCUGGUUCUCCCCGAAAUAGCUUUAGGGCUAGCCUCGUUUUAAAUUACCGGGGGUAGAGCACUGAAUGGGCUAGGGGGCCACAAAGCUUACCGAACCCUAUCAAACUUCGAAUACCGGAUAAUUGAUGAACGGGAGUCAGACGGCGGGAGAUAAGUUUCGUCGUCAAAAGGGAAACAGCCCAGAUCUACGACUAAGGUCCCGAAAUCACAGUUAAGUGGAAAAGGAUGUGCAGUUGCACAGACAACCAGGAUGUUGGCUUAGAAGCAGCCACUCAUUUAAAGAGUGCGUAAUAGCUCACUGGUCGAGUGAUUGUGCGCCGAAAAUGUACCGGGGCUAAACUGUGUACCGAAGUCUAGGGAUCGUGAUAAACGAUCGGUAGGGGAGCAACGUGUGCGGGCUGAAGCCGAAGCGGAAGCGACGGUGGACUGCACGGGAGAGAGAAUGCCGGCAUGAGUAGCGAGAGCAAAGUGAGAAUCUUUGCCGUCGAAAGCCUAAGGUUUCCUGAGGAAGGCUCGUCCUCUCAGGGUAAGUCAGGACCUAAGCCGAGGACAAAAGUCGUAGGCGAUGGACAACUGGUUGAUAUUCCAGUACCACCUUUAGCGUUUGACUGAAGCAGUGACACAGAAGGAUAGACAGAGCGCGUGACUGGUAGAGCGCGUCCAAGCGAUGAGGGAGUUAAGUAGUGAAGAACGCUUAACAAUCCUGGGUCGUGAUGGGGACUGAAAAUAAGUAGGGAAGCUGUUGAAUUCACGCUGGCGAGAAAAGCUGCUAAGGAGCGAAAGGGUGCCUGUACCGCAAACCGACACAGGUAGGCGAGGAGAGAAUCCUAAGACGAGCGGGAGAACCCAUGUUAAGGAACUCGGCAAAAUGACCCUGUAACUUCGGGAUAAAGGGAGCCACGAGAGUGGCCGCAGAGAAUAGGCCCAAGCGACUGUUUACCAAAAACACAGGUCUGUGCGAAGUAGAGAUACGACGUAUACGGGCUGACGCCUGCCCAGUGCCGGAAGGUUAAGGGGAAGUGUUAGGGCAACCGAAGCACGGAACUUAAGCCCCGGUGAACGGCGGCCGUAACUAUAACGGUCCUAAGGUAGCGAAAUUCCUUGUCGGGUAAGUUCCGACCCGCACGAAUGGCGUAACGACUUGGGCACUGUCUCAACAUGGGACCCGGCGAAAUUGUAGUAUGUGUGAAGAUGCACAUUACCCGCGAUAGGACGGAAAGACCCCGUAGAGCUUUACUGUAGUUUAACAUUGGAUUUCGGUAACAUAUGUACAGGAUAGGUGGGAGGCGAAGAACCAGGGACGCCAGUUUCUGGGGAGCCGACCUUGGGAUACCACUCUUGUGUUAUUGGAGUUCUAACGAAUUGCCGUGAACCGGGAUUCGGACAGUGUUAGAUGGGCAGUUUGACUGGGGCGGUCGCCUCCCAAAGAGUAACGGAGGCGUCCAAAGGUUCCCUCAGAAUGGUUGGAAACCAUUCGCAGAGUGUAAAGGCAGAAGGGAGCUUGACUGCGAGACCGACAGGUCGAGCAGGUGCGAAAGCAGGGCUUAGUGAUCCGGCGGUAUGAGAGUGGAAUUGCCGUCGCUCAACGGAUAAAAGCUACCUCGGGGAUAACAGGCUGAUCUCCCCCAAGAGUCCACAUCGACGGGGAGGUUUGGCACCUCGAUGUCGGCUCAUCGCAUCCUGGGGCUGUAUUCGGUCCCAAGGGUUUGGCUGUUCGCCAAUUAAAGCGGCACGCGAGCUGGGUUCAGAACGUCGUGAGACAGUUCGGUCCCUAUCCAUCGUGGGCG
Molecule: ribosomal RNA, 1806 nt
Filed under: human gut metagenome
Description: bacterial LSU rRNA
Rfam family: Bacterial large subunit ribosomal RNA
Source: RNAcentral